UGAUGACACGUGGCAUCUCAUCCUCUCCUCUUUUUUCCUUUGAGCGGCAAAUUAUUUCUUCCUUCCUACGCUCUUUUUGUUUUUGAAACUGCCAGAAUUUUGGAAACUAAUCAAUUCUCUCAAUCAAUUGAAAUCAUUAUCCACCCAAACCCUAAAUCAUUCUUUCAACGGUUUCUCUCUGGCUUCACUCUACAUCCUCUUCAAAUCAAACUUGGAUCCAUGGAUUAUUUUCAAUGAAGAAUCUAACUAAUGUUGUAAGUUAUUAUCAUUCAGAUGAAAUUCAUGGUUGAUAUAGAACUUUGGAUCCCAUAUGCUUUCUAUCCAUAUGUUGUUGUUGAGGAAGAUUCAGGCGCUGGUGUUAGAGGCAAGAGUAUGUUCAUAUCCAUAUACAGCAAAGAAAUGGUAGGAAAUGUUCAGGGUAUGAAAAAGGGAAAUCUUGGGGAAAGGGAGGUUCUUAAAUGCUUUAGGGUUGCCAAUAGCCUGGUGAAGAGUACCAUGUGUUAAGUCUCAUGCAUUAAACUCGAUGCAUUCGUGGAUUUUCUGGAUGUAGCAGAUUAUUGGUCUAUGCUCAGUUUACGGAGGCAACCUUUAAUUGAUUCUAAACUUUUGACAUUGUUAAUGAAGUUUGAUCUUUUUUUGUUAAAGAUUGUUGGGGUUCGAUCUUUUUUGUUAAAGAUUGUUGGUGUUUGAUUGUUGCAGAGAUUAAUGGCUUUGAAGAAGGCGUAUGCGAAUAUUAUUCUGAACACGGAGAAAGAAGUAGCGAAGAGGAUUAUGGUGUCUGAUCGGAAAGCUGUUAUGUUGGAGUACGAGCUUAAAGUUGCUAAAGAAGAUGCGGUUCAGAUGCUUAUGAGGAUUAAACAGAUGAUGGA
Long non-coding RNA from Helianthus annuus (common sunflower), 869 nucleotides. RefSeq lists it as uncharacterized. The transcript is spliced from 3 exons. The record is from RefSeq and is a predicted model, not a curated record. NCBI's taxonomy places the organism in Eukaryota, Viridiplantae, Streptophyta, Magnoliopsida, Asterales, Asteraceae.